GAGUCGUGUGGUGAGCACAAAGCGAACUAUUCUUUCGCCUUUUACUAAAGAAUACCGUGUGCUCACCACAUUAAAGUGACAUACGCCUGUUUUUGUCAGGGGCUCUCUUGUCUUG
RNAcentral lists this small nuclear RNA (115 nucleotides) under Amborella trichopoda. RNAcentral's name for it is "snRNA U5". It matches the Rfam family "U5 spliceosomal RNA". From Rfam's summary of the family: U5 RNA is a component of both types of known spliceosome. The precise function of this molecule is unknown, though it is known that the 5' loop is required for splice site selection and p220 binding, and that both the 3' stem-loop and the Sm site are important for Sm protein binding and cap methylation. Lineage: Eukaryota; Viridiplantae; Streptophyta; Magnoliopsida; Amborellales; Amborellaceae. The record is from RNAcentral.